AUUGAACGCUGGCGGUAUGCUUAACACAUGCAAGUCGAACGAUGAGAAAGAGCUUGCUCUUUCGAUUAGUGGCGGACGGGUGAGUAACGCGUAGGAAUCUACCUAUUAGUGGGGGACAACUUAGGGAAACUUAAGCUAAUACCGCAUACGCCAUACGGGGGAAAGAAGGGGAUUGCAAGACCUUUUGCUAAUAGAUGAGCCUGCGUAGGAUUAGCUAGUUGGGGGGGUAAAAGACCACCAAGGCGACGAUCCUUAACUGGUUUGAGAGAAUGAUCAGUCACACCGGAACCGAGACACGGUCCAGACUCCUACGGGAGGCAGCAGUGGGGAAUAUUGGACAAUGGGCGAAAGCCUGAUCCAGCAAUACCGCGUGUGUGAAGAAGGCCUUAGGGUUGUAAAGCACUUUCAAUUGGAAGGAAAACCUCGAAGCUAAUACCUUCGAGUUUGACAUUACCUUUAGAAGAAGCACCGGCUAACUCCGUGCCAGCAGCCGCGGUAA
Molecule: ribosomal RNA, 499 nt
Filed under: uncultured bacterium
Lineage: Bacteria
Description: partial 16S ribosomal RNA
Rfam family: Bacterial small subunit ribosomal RNA
Source: RNAcentral